This 540-nucleotide ribosomal RNA is filed under the name Zeugodacus cucumis (cucumber fruit fly). Its description in RNAcentral is "partial 16S ribosomal RNA". It matches the Rfam family "Bacterial large subunit ribosomal RNA", at positions 1804 to 2612 of the family's 2925-position model. The record is from RNAcentral. Lineage: Eukaryota; Metazoa; Arthropoda; Insecta; Diptera; Tephritidae.
UUAACAAAAACAUGUCUUUUUGAGUUAAUUUUAAAGUCUGACCUGCCCACUGAAGUUUUUAAAUGGCCGCAGUAUCCUAACUGUGCAAAGGUAGCAUAAUCAUUAGUCUUUUAAUUGAAGGCUGGUAUGAACGGUUGGACGAGGUAUAAGCUGUUUCAUAUAAAUUUAUAAUAGAAUUUUAUAUUUUAGUCAAAAAGCUAAAAUGUUAUUAAAAGACGAGAAGACCCUAUAAAUCUUUAUAUUUUUUUUUGUUUAAAUUUUUUGGAUUUAUUUUAUUUUUAUAAUAAAAAAUAUUUUGUUGGGGUGAUGUUAAAAUUUAAUGAACUUUUAAUUGAAAAAAAUCAUUAAUUUAUGAAUUGUUGAUCCAUUAGUAGUGAUUAUAAGAUUAAGUUACUUUAGGGAUAACAGCGUAAUUUUUUUGGAGAGUUCAUAUCGAUAAAAAAGUUUGCGACCUCGAUGUUGGAUUAAGAUAUAAUUUUAGGUGUAGCCGCUUAAAUGUUAAGUCUGUUCGACUUUUAAAUUCUUACGUGAUCUGAGUUC